Molecule: ribosomal RNA, 460 nt
Filed under: uncultured bacterium
Lineage: Bacteria
Description: partial 16S ribosomal RNA
Rfam family: Bacterial small subunit ribosomal RNA
Source: RNAcentral
CCUACGGGAGGCAGCAGUGAGGAAUAUUGGUCAAUGGACGAGAGUCUGAACCAGCCAAGUAGCGUGAAGGAUGACUGCCCUAUGGGUUGUAAACUUCUUUUAUAUGGGAAUAAAAUGUUCCACGUGUGGGAUUUUGUAUGUACCAUAUGAAUAAGGAUCGGCUAACUCCGUGCCAGCAGCCGCGGUAAUACGGAGGAUCCGAGCGUUAUCCGGAUUUAUUGGGUUUAAAGGGAGCGUAGGUGGAUUGUUAAGUCAGUUGUGAAAGUUUGCGGCUCAACCGUAAAAUUGCAGUUGAAUCUGGCAGUCUUGAGUACAGUAGAGGUGGGCGGAAUUCGUGGUGUAGCGGUGAAAUGCUUAGAUAUCACGAAGAACUCCGAUUGCGAAGGCAGUUCACUGGACUGCAACUGACACUGAGGCUCGAAAGUGUGGGUAUCAAACAGGAUUAGAUACCCCUGUAGUC